This 109-nucleotide small nucleolar RNA is filed under the name Dasypus novemcinctus (nine-banded armadillo). The record is from RNAcentral. Lineage: Eukaryota; Metazoa; Chordata; Mammalia; Cingulata; Dasypodidae.
CCCUGAUGAUGAGUUGCCAUGCUAAUACUGAGCCACCAGAUAGGGCAGUGUUGCCCUGGACUGGUGCCAGUGAGUUUAACAUAACUUCUCAUGUGGAGACCUGAGGGGU